CUUGUUGUUGCGCACCUGAUAAUCUAGAUUUGAUUGUAGCCCGCAGGGUGGCCUCCUGUUGUGAGCACUUGAUGAUCUAGAUUGGAUGGAGACCACCGAGUUGCCUCCUGUUGAUAUGGAAAAGGAAAGAGAGAAUGGAAAAACAAUGAGAGGACUGGUCAGUGAGGUUUAGACCAGUUGGCCGUAUGGGGGAUCGGCUCCCUGGUGCACAUGUACGAGAGGGCGAGCCAUGUGUGAGGACGGCUCGUUGGGGUUUCAGGUGGUGCCACUGACUAAUUUCCACUUACUUGAUUACUUGAAGGUGACAUUACUUGUGGGUGCUAGUGUUGUGCCAUAUGAAUGACUGCAGCAUGCUCAUUUUAGAAUAUUAGGAUGCAUUUUGCGUGAAUGUGUGUGGUGUGUAUUAUUUAUUAUUAUUCACUGAGUUGCAAAACUCACCCCCCCUUCUCUCCAAACCUCUCAG
Molecule: long non-coding RNA, 463 nt
Filed under: Jatropha curcas
Lineage: Eukaryota; Viridiplantae; Streptophyta; Magnoliopsida; Malpighiales; Euphorbiaceae
Description: long non-coding RNA (JCUR_LNC000338)
Source: RNAcentral